AUUGGUGUGAUUGUGAGUGCUUGUCUCAAUGUGCCCUGCGAUUGGCUGGCUACCAGUUCAACGUGUACCCCGCCUUCUGCUCAUUGACAGGUGGGAUCGGCUCCAGCACUCCCCGGGAACCUUGUGAGGAUAAGCGGCAAAGAAAAUAGAUGGAUCGAUCAUGUGGGGGGGUUGACGCUCUCUAACUGCAUCUAUGCACAACUGUUACUCUUAUCAGAAAUAGUUCCCUAUUAAUUGCAUGUCUUUUGUUCUUCGUAAUUGUUAAGUCUGUUUGUUCUUGUUCUGAAUGUCGUCCCAGUCAACAUAAAUGUCGUACAAGGGCGGCACCGAGACCGGAGAGAAAUUCCUUGUGUGGUGUUCCAUACUUGGCUAUUAAUGCUGAUUCUGAUUUUGAAUUCAACAGAGAUGCCUGAAGUUCGGGACCUUUCUGAGCCUUCACCAGAGAAGCCCAUGGACCCGAUCACUGGAGUUGGUGUUGUAGCCUCCAGGAGUAAAGCACCGACUGGUUAUGAUGUUGUUUCAACAACAACAGACGGUCUGGAUGCUGAUUUAUGGAAGGAUGGACUUUUCAAGUCCAAGGUGACCCGGUACCUGUGCUUCACCAGGGUAUUCUCAAAGGAAAAUAGCCAUUUAGGAAAUGUUCUAGUUGACAUGAAGCUCAUUGACAUAAAGGACACCCUGCCUGUGGGAUUCAUUCCAAUCCAGGAGACUGUUGACACUCAGGAACAGGCAUUCAGGAAAAGGCGACUCUGUAUCAAGUUUAUUCCACGAGACUCGACAGAGGCAGCCAUCUGUGAUAUUCGUAUCCUGGGAAGGUCAAAGCAGGCUCCCCCACAAUACACCUUUAUUGGAGAGCUAAACAACAUGGGUAUCUGGUAUCGUAUGGGUGCUGUGCCACGAACUCAGGACCCCUAUCACACAUCAACUGUGAAUGACGUCCAGAUUAUGAAUUCUGUCUCCGCUUCAGCUCCUGUCCAACCAACUUCCAUGACUAAGCAUUUUUCCAUGACUCUUCCUGCCACUUUCAGAGGGAAAAACACUACUCGACCAGAUUACGAGCACCAAAACUCCAACUUCUAUGCAAUCUCUGCUAUGGAUGGAGUGCCCUUCAUGAUCUCUGAGAAGUUCGCAUGUGCCUCAUCAGAACGGUCAGCGGUGCUCGACCAGCAGGAGCAGCCACCACAUCUCCAACAUGCCUCCACGGUGCUCAACCAGCAACAGGCGCAGCUGCCACCUCCCGACCAUGCCUCCGUGGUGCUCGAAGAGUUGCAGCAAGUGGAUCUCAUUGGCAUUACCAUCAAAACAUUGGCUGAGAUUGAGAAAGAAGGUGCCCUGACUCUCCCUUUCACGAUAAGAUGAGAAGUUUGAUCAUCAGGGAAGGGCUCAGAGUUGAGCCGGUGCCCCUCUGCAUUGAGAGGAGCCAGUUGAGGCAUCUGAUUCGGAUGGCUCCCAGACACCUCCCUUGUGAGGUAUUCCGGGCACGUCCCAUCGGAAAGAAACCCCAAGGAUGACCCAGGACAUGUGGGGGAGGCUACGUCCCUUUGCUGCCCUGGAAACGACUUGGGACCCCGCCCCAAGUAAGAUCUGAUGAAAUGGCUGUGGAAAGGGAAGUCUGCGCAUCCCUGCAAAAGCAACUGCCCUCACAACCCGACCAAAAUGUAUGAUUACAGUUUUCGUACUGAACACAGCGCCGCAGCACGGCUUCCUCCCAGUCCAACUUGGACAUCUCUGAGCUCUGAAGCCUAAUGAGCCCCACUACUGACCUUACCACACCCCCUGCAGAGACACCACCAGGACGGACUUGUUGUCCCCAUGGGGACACCCCACUAGAUUCAACGCUCUACUCAUCUACGUGAAUUGAGAAAGAAGAAUGAGGCAACCAUGAAUUGUUUUUGAUCCUUCUUCUCUUUCUGCAGUUGAAAUUAUAAUGAGAUGCAUUUUAAUUGGGAUACAUGAGUCAAGAGAACUACUAUAUCUCCCCAAAUGGAAACUUACUAGUUUUACAACAUUGGAGACAGGUUAUUAGGCUGACUUCAAGUAAAUUUAAACUUAUCACAGGGUAGCCCAUUUUUCAAUAUAGUAGUCUAUAUAGAUACAGCGGUUGACUUUAAACAUUACUUAACAAUAUGUUUUGUUGUUUGUGUAUAGCAAAUAACCACAUCCACUGUGAUGGACUUUAAUUAAGUGUACUGUGAUUUUGUUGUCUGCUGUGUGAUUAUUGAUUUGGGCGUUUAUGCCAAUAAGGGGGGGAAACUGAUGAGUUGGAGAAAAAGUUUUUACCUUUCAUUAAAAAAAGCAUGAUUCAGUGAUUUAACUUGAGUCUAACGUUUACAAGUUGUGGUAAUUCAUGUAUUUUACUCUGUAGGUUUUCUUGUAAUCAUGCGUCAUGUUUAACAAUGAGUAUAAGUGCUGUUACUGACAACUGAGACAAAUUAUGUAUUGACCAUGCCAUUUGGAAAACUUUAAGCAUCUGUUGUAUUUAUGUGCAA
Syngnathoides biaculeatus (alligator pipefish) is the source of this 2489-nucleotide RNA transcript. It is a transcript of the gene named multivesicular body subunit 12Ba, with no coding region annotated. The transcript is spliced from 12 exons. NCBI's taxonomy places the organism in Eukaryota, Metazoa, Chordata, Actinopteri, Syngnathiformes, Syngnathidae. The record is from RefSeq and is a predicted model, not a curated record.